GCAGCACGGGUGCUUGCACCUGGUGGCGAGUGGCGAACGGGUGAGUAAUACAUCGGAACGUGUCCUGUAGUGGGGGAUAGCCCGGCGAAAGCCGGAUUAAUACCGCAUACGAUCUACGGAUGAAAGCGGGGGAUCUUCGGACCUCGCGCUAUAGGGGCGGCCGAUGGCGGAUUAGCUAGUUGGUGAGGUAAAGGCUCACCAAGGCGACGAUCCGUAGCUGGUCUGAGAGGACGACCAGCCACACUGGGACUGAGACACGGCCCAGACUCCUACGGGAGGCAGCAGUGGGGAAUUUUGGACAAUGGGCGAAAGCCUGAUCCAGCAAUGCCGCGUGUGUGAAGAAGGCCUUCGGGUUGUAAAGCACUUUUGUCCGGAAAGAAAUCCUUGAUCCUAAUAUGGUCGGGGGAUGACGGUACCGGAAGAAUAAGCACCGGCUAACUACGUGCCAGCAGCCGCGGUAAUACGUAGGGUGCAAGCGUUAAUCGGAAUUACUGGGCGUAAAGCGUGCGCAGGCGGUGAUGUAAGACCGAUGUGAAAUCCCCGGGCUCAACCUGGGAACUGCAUUGGUGACUGCAUCGCUUGAGUAUGGCAGAGGGGGGUAGAAUUCCACGUGUAGCAGUGAAAUGCGUAGAGAUGUGGAGGAAUACCGAUGGCGAAGGCAGCCCCCUGGGUCAAUACUGACGCUCAUGCACGAAAGCGUGGGGAGCAAACAGGAUUAGAUACCCUGGUAGUCCACGCCCUAAACGAUGUCAACUGGUUGUCGGGUCUUCAUUGACUUGGUAACGUAGCUAACGCGUGAAGUUGACCGCCUGGGGAGUACGGUCGCAAGAUUAAAACUCAAAGGAAUUGACGGGGACCCGCACAAGCGGUGGAUGAUGUGGAUUAAUUCGAUGCAACGCGAAAAACCUUACCUACCCUUGACAUGUACGGAAUCCUGCUGAGAGGCGGGAGUGCCCGAAAG
RNAcentral lists this ribosomal RNA (961 nucleotides) under Paraburkholderia tropica. RNAcentral's name for it is "bacterial SSU rRNA". It matches the Rfam family "Bacterial small subunit ribosomal RNA", at positions 66 to 1024 of the family's 1533-position model. The record is from RNAcentral. Lineage: Bacteria; Pseudomonadati; Pseudomonadota; Betaproteobacteria; Burkholderiales; Burkholderiaceae.